RNAcentral lists this ribosomal RNA (415 nucleotides) under uncultured bacterium. RNAcentral describes it as "bacterial SSU rRNA". It matches the Rfam family "Bacterial small subunit ribosomal RNA", at positions 355 to 787 of the family's 1533-position model. The record is from RNAcentral.
UGGGGAAUAUUGCACAAUGGGGGAAACCCUGAUGCAGCGACGCCGCGUGAAGGAAGAAGUAUCUCGGUAUGUAAACUUCUAUCAGCAGGGAAGACAAUGACGGUACCUGACUAAGAAGCCCCGGCUAACUACGUGCCAGCAGCCGCGGUAAUACGUAGGGGGCAAGCGUUAUCCGGAUUUACUGGGUGUAAAGGGAGCGUAGACGGAUCUGCAAGUCUGGAGUGAAAGCCCGGGGCUCAACCCCGGGACUGCUUUGGAAACUGUAGGUCUAGAGUGCCGGAGAGGUAAGCGGAAUUCCUAGUGUAGCGGUGAAAUGCGUAGAUAUUAGGAGGAACACCAGUGGCGAAGGCGGCCUGCUGGGCUUUAACUGACGCUGAGGCUCGAAAGUGUGGGGAGCAAACAGGAUUAGAUACCC